AAGGAAUAUUGGUCAAUGGACGCAAGUCUGAACCAGCCAUGCCGCGUGAAGGAUUAAGGCCCUCUGGGUUGUAAACUUCUUUUAUAGGGGAAGAAACCCAUCUUUUCUAAGGUGGUUGACGGUACCAGAGGAAUAAGCACCGGCUAACUCCGUGCCAGCAGCCGCGGUAAUACGGAGGGUGCGAGCGUUAUCCGGAUUUACUGGGUUUAAAGGGUGCGUAGGUGGGCUUAUAAGUCAGUGGUGAAAUCUCCGAGCUUAACUUGGAAACUGCCGUUGAUACUAUAGGUCUUGAAUUAUCUGGAGGUAAGCGGAAUAUGUCAUGUAGCGGUGAAAUGCUUAGAUAUGACAUAGAACACCAAUUGCGAAGGCAGCUUACUACAUAUAAAUUGACGCUGAGGCACGAAAGCGUGGGGAUCAAACA
Molecule: ribosomal RNA, 421 nt
Filed under: uncultured bacterium
Lineage: Bacteria
Description: bacterial SSU rRNA
Rfam family: Bacterial small subunit ribosomal RNA
Source: RNAcentral